UAGAGUCUCCCAGUGAGAGGGGCUGGGGUGUGAGACUCAGUGUUAAAGCACCUUCCUGUAGUCCCCCCGUGAGGGGCUGGAGUAGGCUCAGCUGUAGAGUACUUACCUAGAAUUCACUAGGCCAGGUCCAUCCUCAGUACUACAGAACUUGGCUUUGGGGAGAAGGGAAAACCCCCAAAGCCCUAUGGAGGAGCCCUUGGAGCCCUGGGAUACCAAGGUGGGGGCUGCUUUGGGAAAUCUUGUGGCCGGAAGAGGAAGUGAUCUUCUGGAGACCCCUGACUCGCG
Non-coding RNA from Cricetulus griseus (Chinese hamster), 285 nucleotides. The record is from RefSeq and is a predicted model, not a curated record. NCBI's taxonomy places the organism in Eukaryota, Metazoa, Chordata, Mammalia, Rodentia, Cricetidae.